UACGUAGGGGGCUAGCGUUGUCCGGAAUCAUUGGGCGUAAAGCGCGUGUAGGCGGCCCGGUAAGUCCGCUGUGAAAGUCGGGGGCUCAACCCUCGGAUGCCGGUGGAUACUGUCGGGCUAGAGUACGGAAGAGGCGAGUGGAAUUCCUGGUGUAGCGGUGAAAUGCGCAGAUAUCAGGAGGAACACCAAUUGCGAAGGCAGCUCGCUGGGACGUCACUGACGCUGAGGCACGAAAGCGUGGGGAUCAAACAGG
Molecule: ribosomal RNA, 253 nt
Filed under: uncultured bacterium
Lineage: Bacteria
Description: partial 16S ribosomal RNA
Rfam family: Bacterial small subunit ribosomal RNA
Source: RNAcentral